AGAUUGAACGCUGGCGGCAGGCCUAACACAUGCAAGUCGAGCGGUAACAUUUCCAGCUUGCUGGAAGAUGACGAGCGGCGGACGGGUGAGUAAUACUUGGGGAUCUGCCUGAUGGCGGGGGACAACCACUGGAAACGGUGGCUAAUACCGCAUAAUGCCUACGGGCCAAAGUGUGGGACCUUCGGGCCACAUGCCAUCAGAUGAACCCAAGCGAGAUUAGCUAGUUGGUGAGGUAACGGCUUACCAAGGCGACGAUCUCUAGCUGUUCUGAGAGGAUGAUCAGCCACACUGGGACUGAGACACGGCCCAGACUCCUACGGGAGGCAGCAGUGGGGAAUAUUGGACAAUGGGCGCAAGCCUGAUCCAGCCAUGCCGCGUGUGUGAAGAAGGCCUUCGGGUUGUAAAGCACUUUCAGUGGUGAGGAAGGCGUUGUAGUUAAUAGCUGCAACGAUUGACGUUAGCCACAGAAGAAGCACCGGCUAACUCCGUGCCAGCAGCCGCGGUAAUACGGAGGGUGCGAGCGUUAAUCGGAAUUACUGGGCGUAAAGCGCACGUAGGCGGCUUGUUAAGCAAGAUGUGAAAGCCCAGGGCUCAACCUUGGAAUUGCAUUUUGAACUGGCAAGCUAGAGUUUUGAAGAGGGUGGUAGAAUUUCCAGUGUAGCGGUGAAAUGCGUAGAUAUUGGAAGGAAUACCAGUGGCGAAGGCGGCCACCUGGUCAAAAACUGACGCUGAGGAGCGAAAGCGUGGGGAGCAAACAGGAUUAGAUACCCUGGUAGUCCACGCCGUAAACGAUGUCAACUAGUUGUUCGUGUCUUUGAGACGUGAGUAACGCAGCUAACGCACUAAGUUGACCGCCUGGGGAGUACGGCCGCAAGGUUAAAAC
RNAcentral lists this ribosomal RNA (883 nucleotides) under Aliidiomarina sp. Its description in RNAcentral is "bacterial SSU rRNA". It matches the Rfam family "Bacterial small subunit ribosomal RNA", at positions 26 to 900 of the family's 1533-position model. Lineage: Bacteria; Pseudomonadati; Pseudomonadota; Gammaproteobacteria; Alteromonadales; Idiomarinaceae. The record is from RNAcentral.